Molecule: long non-coding RNA, 801 nt
Organism: Homo sapiens (human)
Lineage: Eukaryota; Metazoa; Chordata; Mammalia; Primates; Hominidae
Gene: GTF3C2-AS1
Product: GTF3C2 antisense RNA 1
Source: Ensembl
AGACAGGCCCUGCUAUGCUGUGACCACCACUACAGCAGCCCCAUUCUCCUUGCUGUGCUACUCACCUGGGGGUUGCUGAGCCAGCAGGGCCUCCGGAUGGGGUAGACUGAAUAGCAGUACUUUCCCGUCUGAGCAGGCCAGAGCCAAGAGACCCAACCGGGGCAGGAGAGGAGCCUAAAGGGUAAAAGGGCUGGAGAAAAGAGCCACAUAUUGCGAGGCUCCUGCCCCCUCUGGCACUGGGCACCAGUCCAGAGCCCAGAGCGGUCCCCCCGUGAAGAAGGACACAUCCCAGCGCUCUGGAUGUGCUGUGAUCGAGCUAAAUCUAGAGAAAAAUCAAAGAUGGGAUGAAGAAAGGAAUUAAUGAAAGAAUCAGAAAAAAGGGCGGAUGUGCAAUCUUCACCUGUUUAUUCGGUAGAGGGUGCCAUCUUCAGGUAGCCCUUCACGUUGUACAGAAAACAAUGGAGACUUCUCCUCCUGGGGCAGCUCAGAUAACAAGUGCCACUUCCAGGCUAAAGGAAUCCACUCAGCAAACUCCCAGUAUGAAUGUUUCUGCUCUCGGCUGGAGAAACAGAAGAAGCAUUAAUGAAGGAGAGGGAUUCUACAGCCGCACAGUCCAAUAAAACUUUCUGUGGGGAUGGAAAUGAUCCAUUAUCUGUGCUCCCCAAUAUGCCAGUUGCUAGCUCCAAUUAGCUACCAAGCACCUAAAAUGUGGCUAGCGCAGCUGAGAAACAGAGCCUUUCAUUUUAUUUCACUUUAAUUAAAGAGUUCUAGAGCUCUUGCCUCUAGAGCAGUGCUUUUUAG